Molecule: non-coding RNA, 101 nt
Filed under: Anaerobacillus isosaccharinicus
Lineage: Bacteria; Bacillati; Bacillota; Bacilli; Caryophanales; Bacillaceae
Also listed under: 1 other name
Description: Anaerobacillus sp. NB2006 Purine riboswitch aptamer
Rfam family: Purine riboswitch aptamer
About the family: Riboswitches are metabolite binding domains within certain messenger RNAs that serve as precision sensors for their corresponding targets. Allosteric rearrangement of mRNA structure is mediated by ligand binding, and this results in modulation of gene expression.
Source: Rfam by way of RNAcentral
CGAACGUUGUAAUAUUACCUUCAUAUAUCCUUAGGAAUUGGCCUAAGAGUCUCUACCGGGUCACCGUAAACGGCCUGACUAUGAAGGCAGGAACUUUCUAU